RNAcentral lists this unclassified non-coding RNA (191 nucleotides) under uncultured Ascomycota. RNAcentral's name for it is "sequence contains ITS1". Lineage: Eukaryota; Fungi; Ascomycota. The record is from RNAcentral.
CACAAUAACAUAUGAAGGCUGUACGCGGCUGUGCCCUCGGGCCAGUUUGGCGGAGGCUGGAGUAUUUAUUACCCUUGUCUUUUGCGCACUUGUUGUUUCCUGGGCGGGUCCGCCCGCCACCAGGACCACAUGAUAAACCUUUUUUUAUGCAGUUGCAAUCAGCGUGAGUACAACAAAUGUAAAAUCAUUUA